GAUCAGGCUCAGGAUGAACGCUAGCGACAGGCCUAACACAUGCAAGUCGAGGGGCAGCGGAGAGGUAGCAAUACCUUUGCCGGCGACCGGCGCACGGGUGAGUAACACGUAUGCAAUCCACCUGUAACAGGGGGAUAACCCGGAGAAAUCCGGACUAAUACCCCAUAAUAUGGGCGCUCCGCAUGGAGAGCCCAUUAAAGAGAGCAAUUUUGGUUACAGACGAGCAUGCGCUCCA
RNAcentral lists this ribosomal RNA (235 nucleotides) under uncultured bacterium. RNAcentral's name for it is "partial 16S ribosomal RNA". It matches the Rfam family "Bacterial small subunit ribosomal RNA", at positions 15 to 240 of the family's 1533-position model. The record is from RNAcentral.